CCUACUGGAGGCAGCAGUGAGGAAUAUUGGUCAAUGGCCGCAGGACUGAACCAGACAAGUCGCGCGAGGGAUGAAGGUCCUCUGGAUUGUAAAACUCUUUUGUCAGGGAGCAACGGGAGCCACGUGUGUCGUUUUGCGAGUACCUGAAGAAAAAACAUCGUGUAACUCCGUACCAGCAGCCGCGUUACUACGGAGGAUGCGAGCGUUAUCCGGAUUUAUUGGGUUUAAAGGGUGCAUAGGCGGAAUGUGAAGGCAGCGGUAAAAUUUCGGGGCUCAACCCCGCCGUGCCGUUGAAACUGGCAGUCUUGAGUGGGCGAGAAGUAUGCGGAAUGCGUGGUGUAGCGGUGAAAUGCAUAGAUAUCACGCAGAACUCCGAUUGCGAAGGCAGCAUACCGGCGCUCAACUGACGCUGAGGCACGAAAGCGUGGGUAUCGAACAGGAGUAGAUACCCCAGUAGUC
RNAcentral lists this ribosomal RNA (459 nucleotides) under uncultured bacterium. Its description in RNAcentral is "partial 16S ribosomal RNA". It matches the Rfam family "Bacterial small subunit ribosomal RNA", at positions 338 to 795 of the family's 1533-position model. The record is from RNAcentral.